Myotis brandtii (Brandt's bat) is the source of this 661-nucleotide long non-coding RNA. RefSeq lists it as uncharacterized. The record is from RefSeq and is a predicted model, not a curated record. Lineage: Eukaryota; Metazoa; Chordata; Mammalia; Chiroptera; Vespertilionidae. The transcript has 4 exons.
GAAAGAGACUACUGACAAAGAGUCUCUUUCAAUUGUCGUCGGGCUCCUCUUCCCAAAAAGGACUUGACUUUUGGAAUUCCAUGUCCUUUUUUUUGCAUGACCCAGUUUUAGCAGCACUUCCUCCAAGUGGAUUUACUGAUGUAUCUAGUCUUCUUCAUUUCCCACAUCCUCCAGGUAAUGUCUGAUCACCCUGACCUGCCUGCAGCAAGAAUCCUAUUAGCCUUGUCUCUCCAGCCUCCUGCUUCCUGUCUCCCUCAAGGUGUGUUGCACUCAGGCAUGCUGAUAUUAUUUACCACAAAUACAGAAGCACAAAUUAGAUGGUCACUCGGGAUUUCCUCUUUUUGCCUUUUGGAGCCCAUGAAGUGAAGGGUUUGCCUGGCUGGUCCCCAAGGCUCCUUCAAAUUCUGAUGUUCUAUGAUAUUACAAGUCUUUGAGUGAUCACUCACGAUGCCAAAAAGAAGUCACCAAGGAAACCUCAGGUAUUCUGUUAAUUAUUUUGGUAAAAAUCAAUAGAGAGAAAUAAAAGAGCCAGAACUGAACUCAUAAAAAGAAAGAAGAAGAAUGAAUGUGGAGUAGGGGUCGGGGAAAGAAGAAUGGUUAACAGGGACAAGAAAUAAAUAAUGCCAAUCCCUAUGAAAAGUCUGGAACAAAUGAUUAAAUA